Molecule: transfer RNA, 66 nt
Filed under: Mactra antiquata
Lineage: Eukaryota; Metazoa; Mollusca; Bivalvia; Venerida; Mactridae
Description: tRNA-Ile
Source: RNAcentral
GGCGUUGUGUCAGAUUAAUUGAGUCACUUUGAUGUAGUGGAAGAUGGGUGCGCUGCCCCGACGCUU